Long non-coding RNA from Myotis brandtii (Brandt's bat), 1109 nucleotides. RefSeq lists it as uncharacterized. The record is from RefSeq and is a predicted model, not a curated record. NCBI's taxonomy places the organism in Eukaryota, Metazoa, Chordata, Mammalia, Chiroptera, Vespertilionidae. The transcript has 5 exons.
UGAUACUCUUUUAAAGGUGUCCUCUUUCAUCCCCACAUCCUCGCCAGGUGGCUCCUUUUUACCCAUGGAAAAAGCAAGGUGCUGAGAGGGGAGUGGACUUGUUCAGUCCCACAGGAGGAGGAGCAAACAGCCAGGCCCCCUUCCCCUGGGCAGGCCCCGUCUAGACCCUCUCGACGUGACCCAGAUGCCAUCUUAUCCUGGUAGCAUGAGUCAGCGCCCUCCAAGGCCAACUCGGUCCUACUUCAAACCUCGCACGCCCGUUGGCACAGCCCCUUGGGGCGGGGCACAGCUCUAGGCUACCUGGGAUUCUCCGCCCUGCCUGAGGGGCAGCUCCAGGCUCGAAUGAAUGGCCUGCUUCUUGCUAGCUCCGCCCCCCCGCGAACCUGGGAAGAACCGCACAGGAUAGGGGGAAUCCUGGAAGACUCCUUGGAGGAGGUGAUGUGCAAACGGAUCCUUGAGGAAGGAUGGAAAGAAACCCACCCCACAGAAUAGAAGGGGAAAGGCACGGAAGGGCAUUUGUGACCCAGAAACAGCGACCCGGCACACCCAAGCAUGAAGUGACAAUAACCGGUGCAUACUGAAUGCCUACUAUGUGCCAUUCACUCACCGAAUCACCACCACAGCCCUGUGAGGUGGGAAGACUGACUGAAGGGGCAGUCCAAAGGCCACACAGAGAGCUGAGACAAUGAGAUUGUCAUUGCACAUCAGACCAGGCGGCUUAUCCAGGCCACGGGGGAUGGUACCUAACGUUCCUUCAUUAUGUGCCAGAAGGAGCCAUUCACCAACACUCAGUCUUUGCUGAUUUCCUUUCAUCAUGGAGUCACUCAUUCAACAAAUAUUUCUCGAGCCCCUAUUGUGUGGGGAGAGCUGACCUCACACAGCCGCCCAUGGCAAAGACCAAAGACGGAUGAAUUCUGAGUCUCCCAGGCUCUUUUCUGAACCCCAAACCUUUUGACAACAGCCCUCUUCUGAACUCCCCCUGCCCCAGGUAGGACCCCUCGUGUACAGAGGCCAUAUGCCCAGUGAUGAGGAGCUCUGGCUCUGGCAGCCACAGAUGGGCUCUAAGUAGAUGCUUAAUAAACAGUGACUGUGGCCUGGCCGGCGUGGCU